UAAACCGACACAGGUAGGUGAGGAGAGAAUCCUAAGGCCGACGGGAGAAGCAUUGUUAAGGAACUCGGCAAAAUGACUCCGUAACUUCGGGAGAAGGAGUGCCAGUGAGAGCUGGCCGCAGAGAAUUGGCCCAAGCAACUGUUUAGCAAAAACACAGGUCUAUGCAAAACCGUAAGGUGAAGUAUAUGGGCUGACGCCUGCCCGGUGCUGGAAGGUUAAGGGGAGAGGUUAGCGCAAGCGAAGCUUUGAACUUAAGCCCCAGUAAACGGCGGCCGUAACUAUAACGGUCCUAAGGUAGCGAAAUUCCUUGUCGGGUAAGUUCCGACCCGCACGAAAGGCGUAAUGAUUUGGGCACUGUCUCAACAAUGCACCCGGUGAAAUUGAAAUACCAGUGAAGAUGCUGGUUACCUGCGCCAGGACGGAAAGACCCCAUGGAGCUUUACUCCAGCUUGAUACUGGGAUUCGAUAUUGUAUGUACAGGAUAGGUGGGAGGCGAAGAAGCAUUGACGCCAGUUGAUGCGGAGCCGCUGUUGGGAUACCACCCUUGCAGUAUUGGAUUUCUAACCAGCAGCCGUGACCCGGCUGGGGGACAAUGUCAGGUGGGGAGUUUGACUGGGGCGGUCGCCUCCGAAAGGGUAUCGGAGGCGCUCAAAGGUUCCCUCAGAAUGGUUGGAAACCAUUCGAAGAGUGCAAAGGCAGAAGGGAGCUUGACUGCGACACCGACGGGUGGAGCAGGUACGAAAGUAGGACUUAGUGAUCCGGUGGUAUAAAGUGGGAUUGCCAUCGCUCAACGGAUAAAAGCUACCCUGGGAUAACAGGCUUAUCACUCCCAAGAGUUCACAUCGACGGAGUGGUUUGGCACCUCGAUGUCGGCUCAUCGCAUCCUGGGGCUGAAGUAGGUCCCAAGGGUUGGGCUGUUCGCCCAUUAAAGCGGUACGCGAGCUGGGUUCAGAACGUCGUGAGACAGUUCGGUCCCUAUCCGGCGUGGGCGUAGGAUAUUUGAGAGGAGCUGGCCUUAGUACGAGAGGACCGGGCUGGACUGACCGCUGGUGUAUCUGUUGUUCCGCCAGGAGCAUGGCAGAGUAGCCAAGUCAGGAAGGGAUAAACGCUGAAGGCAUCUAAGCGUGAAGCCCCCCUCAAGAUGAGAUAUCCCAACGCAAGUUGUAAGACCCCUUGAAGACGACAAGGUAGAUAGGGCAGAGGUGGAAGUGCAGUAAUGCAUGGAGCUGACUGUUACUAAUCGGUCGAGGGCAUAAUC
This 1258-nucleotide ribosomal RNA is filed under the name metagenome. Its description in RNAcentral is "bacterial LSU rRNA". It matches the Rfam family "Bacterial large subunit ribosomal RNA", at positions 1649 to 2925 of the family's 2925-position model. The record is from RNAcentral.